RNAcentral lists this transfer RNA (82 nucleotides) under Archaeoglobus sp. RNAcentral describes it as "tRNA-Ser". It matches the Rfam family "tRNA". Rfam says of the family: Transfer RNA (tRNA) molecules are approximately 80 nucleotides in length. Their secondary structure includes four short double-helical elements and three loops (D, anti-codon, and T loops). Lineage: Archaea; Methanobacteriati; Methanobacteriota; Archaeoglobi; Archaeoglobales; Archaeoglobaceae. RNAcentral also lists the same sequence under 1 other name. The record is from RNAcentral.
GCCGGGGUUGCAGAGUGGAACUGCGCCAGCCUUGAGAGCUGGUGCCUUUUUGGGCGCGUGGGUUCAAAUCCCACCCCCGGCG